RNAcentral lists this transfer RNA (77 nucleotides) under Burkholderia ubonensis. RNAcentral describes it as "tRNA-Pro". It matches the Rfam family "tRNA". Rfam says of the family: Transfer RNA (tRNA) molecules are approximately 80 nucleotides in length. Their secondary structure includes four short double-helical elements and three loops (D, anti-codon, and T loops). Further hydrogen bonds mediate the characteristic L-shaped molecular structure. tRNAs have two regions of fundamental functional importance: the anti-codon, which is responsible for specific mRNA codon recognition, and the 3' end, to which the tRNAs corresponding amino acid is attached (by aminoacyl-tRNA synthetases). tRNAs cope with the degeneracy of the genetic code in two manners: having more than one tRNA (with a specific anti-codon) for a particular amino acid; and 'wobble' base-pairing, i.e. permitting non-standard base-pairing at the 3rd anti-codon position. The record is from RNAcentral. Lineage: Bacteria; Pseudomonadati; Pseudomonadota; Betaproteobacteria; Burkholderiales; Burkholderiaceae.
CGGAGUGUAGCGCAGUCCGGUAGCGCGUCUGGUUUGGGACCAGAGGGUCGCGGGUUCGAAUCCUGCCACUCCGACCA